RNAcentral lists this ribosomal RNA (1978 nucleotides) under human oral metagenome. RNAcentral describes it as "bacterial LSU rRNA". It matches the Rfam family "Bacterial large subunit ribosomal RNA", at positions 831 to 2818 of the family's 2925-position model. The record is from RNAcentral.
AAUCAAACUUGGAGAUAGCUCGUACUCCCCGAAAUGCAUUUAGGUGCAGCCUGUGGAGUUUCUUACGUGAGGUAGAGCGACUGAUUGGAUGCGAGGCUUUCACCGGCUAUCAAGUCCAGACAAACUCCGAAUGCACGUUAAGUAAGAUCCACGGAGUGAGGGCAUGGGUGCUAAGGUCCAUGUCCGAGAGGAGAAGAAUCCAGACCAUCGGCUAAGGUCCCGAAAUAAUAGCUAAGUUGACCAAACGAAGUCAGAGUGCGAAGACAGCUAGGAUGUUGGCUUGGAAGCAGCCAUUCAUUUAAAGAGUGCGUAACAGCUCACUAGUCGAGUGCUUUGGCGUGGAUAAUAAUCGGGCAUAAGCUAUUUACCGAAGCUGUGGGAUGUGUAAACAUCGGUAGGGGAGCAUUCUAGCGGCGCUGAAGGUGAGAGGACAACUCUUGCUGGAGCUUCUAGAAAAGCAAAUGUAGGUAUAAGUAACGAUAAAGGAGGUGAGAAACCUCCUCGCCGAAAGACUAAGGUUUCCUGAUCAACGCUAAUCGGAUCAGGGUUAGUCGGGGCCUAAGGGGAAGCCGAACGGCGCACCCGAUGGAAGAACCGGUUAAUAUUCCGGUACUAAUUAUGUGAGCGAUGUGGAGACGGAGAUGUGACGGUCCUGCCAACUGACGGAAUAGUUGGUUGAAGGGUGUAGGAGUUGAUCUGAGUAGGCAAAUCCGCUCGGAGAUCCGAACCUGACAGUACUCUGAGUGCUUGCACAAGGAGAUAUGGACAACUGUAACGGUGCUCCCAAGAAAAUCCGCUAAGCAUAUUGCAUGAUUACCCGUACCAUAAACCGACACAGGUGGUUGGGUUGAGUAUACUAAGGCGCUCGAGUGAUUCGCGGUUAAGGAACUAGGCAAAAUAGUCCUGUAACUUCGGAAUAAAGGACGCUCACAGUGAAGGCUGUGAGCCGCAGAGAAUAGGCCCAGGCGACUGUUUAACAAAAACACAUGGCUAUGCUAAAUCGAAAGAUACUGUAUAUAGCCUGACACCUGCCCGGUGCUGGAAGGUUAAGAGGAGAUGUCAUCGCAAGAGAAGCAUUGAAUUGAAGCCCCAGUAAACGGCGGCCGUAACUAUAACGGUCCUAAGGUAGCGAAAUUCCUUGUCGGGUAAGUUCCGACCUGCACGAAUGGUGUAACGAUCUGGGUACUGUCUCAACCGCGAGCUCGGUGAAAUUGUAGUAUCGGUGAAGAUGCCGAUUACCCGCAACGGGACGAAAAGACCCCGUGAACCUUUACUAUAGCUUUGCAUUGGAUUUGGGUAACAAAUGUGUAGGAUAGGCCGGAGACUAAGAAGCGGGUACGCCAGUAUUCGUGGAGUCGCCGUUGAAAUACGGCCCUUUUGUUAUUUGGGUUCUAACUCGCGGAUGCGAGGACAUUGCAUGGUGGGUAGUUUGACUGGGGUGGUCGCCUCCAAAAGUGUAACGGAGGCUUCUAAAGGUACCCUCAGACCGAUUGGUAACCGGUCGUAGAGUGUAAUGGCACAAGGGUGCUUGACUGGGAGACUAACAAGUCGCACAGGUAGGAAACUAGAGCAUAGUGAUCCGGUGGUUCCGUAUGGAAGGGCCAUCGCUCAAAGGAUAAAAGGUACUCCGGGGAUAACAGGCUGAUCCCUCCCAAGAGCUCAUAUCGACGGAGUGGUUUGGCACCUCGAUGUCGGCUCGUCACAUCCUGGGGCUGGAGAAGGUCCCAAGGGUUGGGCUGUUCGCCCAUUAAAGUGGCACGCGAGCUGGGUUCAGAACGUCGUGAGACAGUUCGGUCUCUAUCUGUUGUGGGCGUUUGAGAUUUGAGGGGGCCUGACACUAGUACGAGAGGACCGUGUUGGACGAACCGCUGGUUUAUCGGUUAUGCCGCCAGGCGUAUUGCCGAGUAGCUACGUUCGGUUGAGAUAAGUGCUGAAAGCAUCUAAGUACGAAGCUUGCCUCAAGAUUAGAUCUCAUUAU